RNAcentral lists this long non-coding RNA (1123 nucleotides) under Amphibalanus amphitrite. RNAcentral's name for it is "uncharacterized LOC122392659, transcript variant X1". Lineage: Eukaryota; Metazoa; Arthropoda; Thecostraca; Balanomorpha; Balanidae. The record is from RNAcentral.
UCGGAUUCCAGCACCACAUUCGUGGAAAAAAUGACAAAAACGGACCCCUCAGAAUCAAUUUAAAUUAACAGGAUAGAUAGACCAGGACAUGCUUAUUACGAAAAUAAAUCACCUAGGCUUGGCACCCCCUAAGAACUGAGGAAUCUUAGGUCAAAGUUCAAGGUCAUUCUCGGCGGACCCUUUGGAUUCUCGUAAAAAUUGGUACAACUAUAGUCCAUGAAGAGCUGAUUUCAAAAAUAUCAGUUUCUUACUUUGGCAAGCAGCACGAACUGAUAUAUAGUAGGUCAAAGGUCAGAAUCAAGGUCACGUAUGUGUAAUACAGGAAGUGGAAGUGACCACGUGGCCAGAUGACCCUCAGUUGAGCUCUGUGCCGCCGAGGAGACCGUGCGCCGCGAGCUGCCGCCCGAGGACCGGCCGGCGCUGACCCGGCUGUCACCUCUAACUGACGGCGCGCUGUCGCUUCGUCCUCCGACCCUGCGCCGGCCGUGCCGGGAGGCCGAGCUGCUGACCCAGCUGCAGCAGCUGGCGGUGGCCCUGGACGGCGCCUGCCCCCUGGUGUUGGAUGGCAGCUGCGGGAGCCACGUGACGCCGUCUGCGCUUUUGGCGCCAGGAGAGCUUGACGCUGCUGCGAGCACUACAGGGCUACUAGCGGUCUCUGAAUGGAGCUGCGUUCCGGUGGGCGGCUGGCUGCGCUCUCUCGGUCUGGCCCAGUACGCCGACGCGUUCGUCGCCCGCUCUGUGGAUGGCGCCCGGCUUCUGGGGCUCACCGAACAGGCUAUGGAAGACGAGCCCGACAUCGGUCUCGACGUGGCGACCUCGAAGCCGGCGUGUUGGGUCUCGGCUUCCCGCCACUCACUGGCGGACCUUUCCGCUUCGUGGACCGCAUCGGUCCCGCACAGCUAGUCAAGGACAUGGAGCGCUUCGCCGUCGUCAGUGGCGUCGGCUUCGAGCCGUGCCUGACCGUGCACUACCAGGCCGCUAGCGGCACCAAGUUCUGUUCGGCCGGGCCUCGUGUAAUGCCCACAUGUGAUGACCGAGUGUAUACGCAUGUGAAGCCGCUCCGCGUGUGUGCCAGCGCUGGGCGUGUUCAGUUUCAAAGUAAAUAUAGAACCCUGGUGAUGAA